CUCGUAGGCGGUUUGUCGCGUCUGGUGUGAAAACCUCAGGCUCAACCUGGGGCGUGCAUCGGGUACGGGCAGACUAGAGUGCGGUAGGGGAGACUGGAAUUCCUGGUGUAGCGGUGGAAUGCGCAGAUAUCAGGAGGAACACCGAUGGCGAAGGCAGGUCUCUGGGCCGCAACUGACGCUGAGGAGCGAAAGCAUGGGGAGCGAACA
This 207-nucleotide ribosomal RNA is filed under the name uncultured bacterium. RNAcentral describes it as "partial 16S ribosomal RNA". It matches the Rfam family "Bacterial small subunit ribosomal RNA", at positions 568 to 774 of the family's 1533-position model. The record is from RNAcentral.